Long non-coding RNA from Myotis lucifugus (little brown bat), 548 nucleotides. RefSeq lists it as uncharacterized. The record is from RefSeq and is a predicted model, not a curated record. The transcript has 2 exons. Lineage: Eukaryota; Metazoa; Chordata; Mammalia; Chiroptera; Vespertilionidae.
UCUGCAUGAGCCCUGACCAGGGUCUGGGCCAGGGAGGAGCCUGCAACCAAGGUCCCCCCGUGUCUUACAGGUCACCGUAACCUCACAGAUUGUCAAAAUCAGGAAAUUUCCCUGUGGCAACCCCAUUAGGUAAAUGAUGAGCCCUAUUGGGAUGUCACCGGUUUCAACAUGCACUUGUGGUUGUGUACAUGGUUCCUGGGCAUUUCAGCGGGAGUGCAGAUUUGAGGAAUCAUCAGCAGAUGCAGAACUGUUCCCUCAACACAAACAAAUCCCCGUGUUGGUCCAUAGUGGUCACCCCUCCCCGCCAAUUCCUGGCCACACCUGUCUGGUCUCCACCAUAAUUUUGUCCCUCCGUCACUUAGAGAAUCGCAUAUAAAUGGAAUCACUGUGUGACACCUGGCGACUGGCUCUUGCAAUGCACCCAGGUCACCUGGUGGCUCAGUAAUUUGUGCCUUUUUAUUUGAGUGUUUACCAUGUGCUGCUUCGGACAGCUGGUUUCCCCCAGGUUUUGGCCAUUAAAAACUAAAGCUGUUGUGAAUAUCCAUGUA